GGGCAUGUGGUGUAGUUGGUUAUCACGCUCGCUUAGCAUUCAUGAGUGAGCUUGCGAGAGGGGUCCGGUUCAAUCCCGGACAUGUCCA
Polyporus arcularius HHB13444 is the source of this 88-nucleotide non-coding RNA. The record is from the annotation of a GenBank genome assembly. Lineage: Eukaryota; Fungi; Basidiomycota; Agaricomycetes; Polyporales; Polyporaceae.